GAUGAACGCUGGCGGCGUGCUUAACACAUGCAAGUCGAACGAACCUUCGGGUUAGUGGCGGACGGGUGAGUAACGCGUGAGAAUCUGCCCUCAGGAGGGGGACAACAGCUGGAAACGGCUGCUAAUACCCCAUAUGCCGCGAGGUGAAAUGAAUUUCGCCUGAGGAUGAGCUCGCGUCUGAUUAGCUAGUUGGUGUAGGUAAUGGCUCACCAAGGCAUCGAUCAGUAGCUGGUCUGAGAGGAUGAUCAGCCACACUGGGACUGAGACACGGCCCAGACUCCUACGGGAGGCAGCAGUGGGGAAUUUUCCGCAAUGGGCGAAAGCCUGACGGAGCAACGCCGCGUGAGGGAUGAAGGCCUCUGGGCUGUAAACCUCUUUUAUCAAGGAAGAAGAUCUGACGGUACUAAAGGAAUAAGCCACGGCUAAUUCCGUG
Molecule: ribosomal RNA, 433 nt
Filed under: uncultured bacterium
Lineage: Bacteria
Description: bacterial SSU rRNA
Rfam family: Bacterial small subunit ribosomal RNA
Source: RNAcentral